Non-coding RNA from Bos taurus (domestic cattle), 56 nucleotides. The record is from Rfam. Lineage: Eukaryota; Metazoa; Chordata; Mammalia; Artiodactyla; Bovidae.
UGGCUCAGAUGGUAAAGCAUCUGCCUACAAUGCAGGAGACCUGGGUUCAAUCCCUG